RNAcentral lists this ribosomal RNA (417 nucleotides) under uncultured bacterium. Its description in RNAcentral is "bacterial SSU rRNA". It matches the Rfam family "Bacterial small subunit ribosomal RNA", at positions 358 to 772 of the family's 1533-position model. The record is from RNAcentral.
GGAAUAUUGGUCAAUGGCCGGAAGGCUGAACCAGCCAAGUCGCGCGAGAGAACAAGGCCCUACGGGUUGUAAACCUCUUUUGUCGGGGAGCAAAUUCCGCCACGUGUGGCGGAGUCGAGAGUACCCGAAGAAAAAGCAUCGGCUAACACCGUGCCAGCAGCCGAGGUAAUACGGAGGAUGCGAGCGUUAUCCGGAUUUAUUGGGUUUAAAGGGUGCGUAGGCGGACUGUCAAGUCAGCGGUAAAAUACGGGGGCUCAACCUCCGCCCGCCGUUGAAACUGACGGUCUUGAGUGGGCGAGAAGUAUGCGGAAUGCGUGGUGUAGCGGUGAAAUGCAUAGAUAUCACGCAGAACUCCGAUUGCGAAGGCAGCAUACCGGCGCCCAACUGACGCUGAAGCACGAAAGCGUGGGUAUCGAA